RNAcentral lists this long non-coding RNA (628 nucleotides) under Homo sapiens (human). RNAcentral describes it as "PREDICTED lncRNA (TCONS_00182972)". Lineage: Eukaryota; Metazoa; Chordata; Mammalia; Primates; Hominidae. The record is from RNAcentral.
AGUUUGAUCUCAGACUGCUGUGCUAGCAAUCAGCGAGACUCCGUGGGCGUAGGACCCUCCGAGCCAGUUCUUAAGAUCUGCUAUGAAAAAUAGAUAAGGAUUUUGAAGUUAUCCAUGGACUUUUGGAGUAUUGUUAAUAAGAAGUCCAGAAUCAUCAUGACUUUCAGUCUUUGAUAUGUGACUUGUUCUUUCUAGAACCUUAUGAAAAAUAUCCAACCCGAGCAGGAUAAAACUGAUCAUCCUGAGGAUAUUGCCCUUGGAGUUAAUUUUUUGAGAGAAAUAAAACAAUAAACAUCAUAAGACACAAACCCCAAGCAACUGAUCUCACUGUUAAAAUCCAACCUGAGAACAAUGGAAUGGGUAAGUAGAAUAUUUAUUUAUUAAAAGGGCAACAUCUCAGAAAUGAAAUUACAAUUUAGUUGGGAUAAAUUGUCUUAUAACUUCAUUUUUUUACAUUAAAGCUAUAAUUGAGGGGUAUUAUAUGCUGUUUAUCACUGCAAUGAAAAUGUAGUCAGAAUGAACUUCUCGAGGCUGUUAAACUGCCUCUUAUUAGCAUUGAAACUAUACUCACAGCCUAUUAUCUUAGGCUAUAUUUUUUGGUAUAAGGGAAUUGCUAUCAAAGUGUACU